RNAcentral lists this ribosomal RNA (484 nucleotides) under uncultured bacterium. RNAcentral's name for it is "partial 16S ribosomal RNA". It matches the Rfam family "Bacterial small subunit ribosomal RNA", at positions 30 to 507 of the family's 1533-position model. The record is from RNAcentral.
AUUGAACGUUGGCGGCAGGCCUAACACAUGCAAGUCGAGCGGAUGAAGGGAGCUUGCUCCUGGAUUCAGCGGCGGACGGGUGAGUAAUGCCUAGGAAUCUGCCUGGUAGUGGGGGAUAACGUCCGGAAACGGGCGCUAAUACCGCAUACGUCCUGAGGGAGAAAGUGGGGGAUCUUCGGACCUCACGCUAUCAGAUGAGCCUAGGUCGGAUUAGCUAGUUGGUGGGGUAAAGGCCUACCAAGGCGACGAUCCGUAACUGGUCUGAGAGGAUGAUCAGUCACACUGGAACUGAGACACGGUCCAGACUCCUACGGGAGGCAGCAGUGGGGAAUAUUGGACAAAGGGCGAAAGCCUGAUCCAGCCAUGCCGCGUGUGUGAAGAAGGUCUUCGGAUUGUAAAGCACUUUAAGUUGGGAGGAAGGGCAGUAAGUUAAUACCUUGCUGUUUUGACGUUACCAACAGAAUAAGCACCGGCUAACUUCGUG